Long non-coding RNA from Chrysemys picta bellii (western painted turtle), 2001 nucleotides. The record is from Ensembl. Lineage: Eukaryota; Metazoa; Chordata; Testudines; Emydidae.
AAUCAUGGCUAGCGAGGACUGCGUCGUUUUGUUUGCUGACUGCAGACGGACAGCUGCGAACUAGGGGGCAAGAAGCAGCAGUGGCAGGACCAUUUUCUGGAUUUGGAGCACAAUUCAGCUAUUUUCCACCCCUAUCUCCUCUGCUCCCAGCACAGACACACUAAUCAGCCUUGCUGUCCUUAAAGGAGGGAGGGGAAACCUGAAUUCCUGUUUCCAUCACUCAGUAUUUUUACCCCCCACCAAAGUUUUACUGAUAAGAAAGGAUUAACGCCCCCACCCUGUAAUAGAGUUGGAAGGAUGAAUAACAGUACACGCUAAGUUACAAGAUCCAACUGCGUCUCUGGUGGGCAUCUUAUCGAGGGUCUUUUUAAAAGGGCGUGGGGAAAUUAGGCGUUAUACAAACUUUACAGUUGACUGUUUAAAUGUAAGCCCUAAGGGUGUGUGUGUGCACAAAACCCUUUAAAAAUACAUUAUUCCUCAACCUCUUUUUUGGGGGGGGAAGUAGACUUUUGGGGAGGACUAUAAGGAAGGUUGUUUCUCCGUGAGAGAUGAAGAGCGCCAGACCCUGGAUGUGGGAGUGGAAGACCCUAUAGAAAGAUAAUGGCAGCAAGUUUAUUUGUCUUUUAAAAAGAAGGAAUCUUAACUGUGUUUUUUAAAAAGAAAAGCAGCAAAAAAGAAGAGGCAAGGAAGAUAAGCUGAGGACAGAAAUAGAAGAAGAGAUGGGACAUCCACAUGCUUAUUAAGUUCUGCUUUGUGAACGGCGGAAGAAGAUUGUCAAAUUGGCUGAAAGAGCGAGUUCUCAAUAACGUGUCACAUGGAACUAGCAUCAAGUUAGAAACCUGAUAAGGUAAGACAUUAUUUACCAGAGUAAGUAACCUCAUUCUUUGGUAUUAGUAAAGUAUAAUAUAACAGGGAAUCCUGACAAGAUGAACUGAAAGAAAAAAAGCAACAUUUUUUGUGGUAGCAUAAGAAGACCUCAUCUUGGAUCUGUUGUUUAUGUAUAGCAAGAUGUUGGUUCAGUAUUUAUGUUCAGUACAGACCGCAAGCUAGAAGGGAUACCAUCACACUCUCCUUGUGAUGCAAAUGGCAGGCACUGAUACAAAGCUUUGCAUCAGUUGAUUCAUUUCUGACUGGUGAUAGUUUUCCCAUGCUGCACUGUAAUGAUCUUAUCUUCCAGUGUGAUUGUGUGUAGGCAAGGGAAGGGUAGAGAAGGGAACAGGCGGGAUUAUAAAGAAAGCAAAAUAGGUGAUUAAAAAUGCGUCGUGAGGGAUGCCUUGUUUUCACACUCUUCUCAUGAGUACUUUUUUACCACUAGCUAAUGCCCUAACUUAGCUUCACAUGCCAGUGUCCCUGGAUGCUCAAACAGAAAUGAGCAGCACUCCACAAAUCUGAAAAGUGUUACCAUGUAGAUUAAAAUGUUUAUUUGCUUCUGUUCAGUCUGAUGGUUUUGUUUUUAUCAUAAUGAGGUAAAUGUUGUGUAUAGAACAUACUGCUAGGAAGACAGAGGAUAAUUAAUACAGGGUCCUGUAUAUACCGAGUGCUCAAAGAAGAGCAUUAGUAAUAGUGGCAACUGUUCAUAAGCCACAUAAUGCUUUGUUCGUCUUUUGUUUAAAAUGUAAAGCAGUGGCACUUUAAAAACAAAAAAUGCAGUGUUCCUUGUCUAUUUCCAUUACUUCUGUUACUACAUCUUGGUAAAUGUCUCCCAUUAACAGAAAAUUAAUAUGAGUGUAGAACAGUUUAUAGUUUUCUCAUUGCUUAUCACUGAAGAAUUGUUUGGGAAAUAGUUUGUCAUAUCAGAAUGUGCUAAAUAUCAGUCAAAUUCUUCAAAACCCCUUUGUAUUAUAUAUGGAAGAACAUCUACCAGUUAAAACACAUAAUUGGUAGUUGAGACAUAUCCUGUAUUUCUGACUCUGCAACAGACUACCUAUGUGAUCUUGGGUGAUUCGCUUAUCUCUGUGCCUUAUUGCCCCCAUUAAUAAAAUGGGAAUAAUACCUACCUCA